AUGACUAGGGGCAGAACGAAGGGACGUCCAAGAAGGAGUCAGCUGUGCAAUGAAGACACAAGCCGAACCCCUGUGGGUCACCCAGUCAGCCCCAACUAUAAGAUUUGUCAAAAAGGAACGUUUUAAGCCUGUAGGCGAUGGGCCGAGUACGUCUAUCUGCUUUCGUUUACGAAACAAUUGAUCCCCUGCCGCUCCAGCAACCACAAACCAAUGAGAGCUCUUGUUACUACUUCGUGGACUUCAGUUGGCCAAUCAGAUUCCUCGUACUUCUGGUAAAGCCAUAACACAACGUUAACACAACUGGUUAAGGGACGAGAGCAAACGAAGGAAAAGUAGCAUGGCUGAAUGGUACAGGUGUCUGUCUGUGGAGAAGUCAGAGACUGUCACUACACAACCAGGUAUAAUGGUGAAAUGCAGGUAAGCAAGGUGUGUAACAUCAACUUAACUAUAAUUGUAAGGACAAUGUAGAUUA
Acanthochromis polyacanthus (spiny chromis) is the source of this 472-nucleotide long non-coding RNA. RefSeq lists it as uncharacterized. The record is from RefSeq and is a predicted model, not a curated record. NCBI's taxonomy places the organism in Eukaryota, Metazoa, Chordata, Actinopteri, Pomacentridae. The transcript has 3 exons.